This 316-nucleotide long non-coding RNA is filed under the name Elaeis guineensis (African oil palm). Its description in RNAcentral is "long non-coding RNA (EGUI_LNC014049)". The record is from RNAcentral. Lineage: Eukaryota; Viridiplantae; Streptophyta; Magnoliopsida; Arecales; Arecaceae.
UCUAAAAGAGACAAUCUUACAAACAGACAUAAUCUUUCAACAAAAGAAAUUAAGAAAAUAACAAUAAACAAGCUAAUAGUCUAACAAUAAAAUCUGCCAGUGUAGAAAGAAGAAUGAUAUUUAAAUAUGAAUAAAUACAUUGUCAAUUUCAUUGGCUGUCUCCAAAUGCUGCAUAGCACAUUCAUCAGACCUUAAUUUUGAGUUGGAUGAAGCAAACACCAAAGAUCCAUGUGCCUUAUUUUUGAGAAAAAGAGCUCAUUAUUCUAUCAUGGAAUCUACAAAGCUCUUGAAAUUCUUAUAGGAAGACCCUCCUUCC